This 832-nucleotide ribosomal RNA is filed under the name uncultured bacterium. RNAcentral's name for it is "bacterial SSU rRNA". It matches the Rfam family "Bacterial small subunit ribosomal RNA", at positions 60 to 899 of the family's 1533-position model. The record is from RNAcentral.
AGUCGAACGAAGCACUUCUCUCUGAUCGCUUCGGUGUGAAGAGAAUUGUGACUUAGUGGCGAACGGGUGAGUAACACGUGAGUGACCUGCCCCGAAGUGCGGCAUAACAGGGGGAAACCCUUGCUAAUUCCGCAUGUGCUCCCACCUUCUGAGGUGUGAGUAAAGAUUUAUCGCUUCGGGAUGGGCUCGCGGUCCAUCAGCUAGUUGGUAGGGUAAAGGCCUACCAAGGCUACGACGGAUAGCCGGCCUGAGAGGGUGUACGGCCACAGGGGCACUGAGAUACGGGCCCCACUCCUACGGGAGGCAGCAGUUAGGAAUCUUCGGCAAUGGGCGCAAGCCUGACCGAGCGACGCCGCGUGAAGGAUGAAGGCCCUCGGGUCGUAAACUUCUAAAAGAGGGACGAUAGUGACGGUACCUCUUGAAAAGCACCGGCUAACUCCGUGCCAGCAGCCGCGGUAAUACGGAGGGUGCUAGCGUUAUCCGGAAUCACUGGGCGUAAAGGGCGCGUAGGCGGUCUGUUAAGUCCGAUGUUAAAGACUGGGGCUCAACCCCAGCAUUGCGUUGGAUACUGGCAGGCUUGACGGUUGGAGAGGCGAGUGGAAUUACCAGUGUAGCGGUGAAAUGCGUAGAUACUGGUAGGAACACCCAUUGCGAAGGCAGCUCGCUGGACAACACGUGACGCUGAGGCGCGAAAGUGUGGGGAGCAAACCGGAUUAGAUACCCGGGUAGUCCACACCCUAAACGAUGCACACUUGGUGUUGGCCCGUUGGGGUCAGCGCCGGAGCUAACGCGUUAAGUGUGCCGCCUGGGAAGUACGGCCGCAAGGUUGAAA